Molecule: long non-coding RNA, 310 nt
Filed under: Musa acuminata (dwarf banana)
Lineage: Eukaryota; Viridiplantae; Streptophyta; Magnoliopsida; Zingiberales; Musaceae
Description: long non-coding RNA (MACU_LNC007886)
Source: RNAcentral
AAAGAUCUUGGGAAGGAUGCCAAAUAAUGUACCCACAGGUAGUUAUAGUCUAUAGCAUGUGUAGUCAUAACUAUCGCAUUAGCACUCUAUGAGUUACUUGGCUUUGUCUAUGACUUGUAUAGAUAAAGCUAUUUGUAGAAACUUUACACAUAAUCAAUUUACUUUUACUUACCAAAAAGUUUUUUUGUUUUUGGAUUUUCGAAUAAGGAUAACUAAAUUGCAGCAGUAGUAAGAUAGGAAACCAGAACCUGUUGCAAUUCACGGGGAGAUCAAAGGAUGAUCCGCGGUGGUGGAGAUGAUGGCGGAAUUC